CCUACGGGUGGCUGCAGUGGGGAAUAUUGGACAAUGGGGGGAACCCUGAUCCAGCGACGCCGCGUGAGUGAAGAAGUAUUUCGGUAUGUAAAGCUCUAUCAGCAGGGAAGAAAGGCAUGACGGUACCUGACUAAGAAGCCCCGGCUAACUACGUGCCAGCAGCCAAGGUAAUACGGAGGGGGCAAGCGGUAUCCGGAUUUACUGGGUGUAAAGGGAGCGUAGAGAGUUAAGCAAGUCUGGAGUGAAAGGCGGGGGGCCAACCCUCGGACUGCAUUUGAAAAUGGAUAGCUGGAGUGCAGGAGAGGUAAGUGGAAUUCGUGGUGUAGCGGUGAAAUGCGUAGAUAUUAGGAGGAACACCAGUGGCGAAGGCGGCUUACUGGCCUGUAACUGACGUUGAGGCUCGAAAGCGUGGGGAGCGAACAGGAUUAGAUACCCUGGUAGUC
Molecule: ribosomal RNA, 443 nt
Filed under: uncultured bacterium
Lineage: Bacteria
Description: partial 16S ribosomal RNA
Rfam family: Bacterial small subunit ribosomal RNA
Source: RNAcentral